RNAcentral lists this ribosomal RNA (401 nucleotides) under Acanthoscelides mundulus. Its description in RNAcentral is "partial 12S small subunit ribosomal RNA". The record is from RNAcentral. Lineage: Eukaryota; Metazoa; Arthropoda; Insecta; Coleoptera; Chrysomelidae.
UAAACUAGGAUUAGAUACCCUAUUAUUUUAAAUUUAAGUUUAAAAUGCUAAAUUAGUAUAAGUUAUGUUCUUUAAAAUUAAAAAAUUUGGCGGUAUUUUAGUCUUUUCAGAGGAACCUGUUCUGUAAUUGAUAGUCCACGAUUUAAGAUAUUUUAUUUAUUAGUUUACAUAUCGUUGUAGUUUUGAAUAUUUUAAUAGAAUUUUAAAUAUUCAUAAUUUUUUAUUUAAAAAUAAAUCAGAUCAAGGUGUAGUUUAUAAUAAAAUAGAAAUGGGUUACAUUAAAUUUAUUUGAGAAUAAUUUUUAGUAACAAAAAUUUGAAUAUGGAUUUGAAAGUAAUUUUAAAAAAAUUUUUAAAAUGAUUUUAGCUCUAAAAUAUGUACACAUCGCCCGUCGCUCUUAA